UACGGAAGGUCCGGGCGUUAUCCGGAUUUAUUGGGUUUAAAGGGUGCGUAGGCGGACGCUUAAGUCAGCGGUAAAAUUGCGGGGCUCAACCUCGUCGAGCCGUUGAAACUGGCAGUCUCGAGUUGGAGAGAAGUAUGCGGAAUGCGCGGUGUAGCGGUGAAAUGCAUAGAUAUCGCGCAGAACUCCGAUUGCGAAGGCAGCAUGCCGGCUCCACACUGACGCUGAGGCACGAAAGCGUGGGGAUCGAACAGG
RNAcentral lists this ribosomal RNA (252 nucleotides) under uncultured Bacteroidales bacterium. Its description in RNAcentral is "partial 16S ribosomal RNA". It matches the Rfam family "Bacterial small subunit ribosomal RNA", at positions 524 to 776 of the family's 1533-position model. The record is from RNAcentral. Lineage: Bacteria; Pseudomonadati; Bacteroidota; Bacteroidia; Bacteroidales.